Non-coding RNA from Podarcis lilfordi (Lilford's wall lizard), 206 nucleotides. Lineage: Eukaryota; Metazoa; Chordata; Lepidosauria; Squamata; Lacertidae. The record is from the annotation of a GenBank genome assembly.
ACCCGAAGCGUAUGCUCAGUCAGUAGAGCAUGAGACUCUUAAUCUCAGGUAGGGCUGCCAUACGUCCAGGAUUUCAAAGGUGGAAUUGACGUCCAGGGGGAAUUUCCAAAAUGUGGCGCUUUGUCCUGGAUCUUAGUCUUGGUUUUUACUUUUUGAAACAUGGCAAACCUAUCUCAAGGUCAUGGGAUCAAAACCCACUUUGGGCC